GUCCACGCCGUAAACGAUGGAUACUAGCUGUUGGGGGCAACUUCAGUGGCUAAGCGAAAGUGAUAAGUAUCCCACCUGGGGAGUACGUUCGCAAGAAUGAAACUAAAAGGAAUUGACGGGGGCCCGCACAAGCGGUGGAGCAUGUGGUUUAAUUCGAUGAUACGCGAGGAACCUUACCAAGGCUUAAAUGUAGAUUGACCGAUUUGGAAACAGAUCUUUCGCAAGACAAUUUACAAGGUGCUGCAUGGUUGUCGU
This 255-nucleotide ribosomal RNA is filed under the name uncultured bacterium. RNAcentral describes it as "partial 16S ribosomal RNA". It matches the Rfam family "Bacterial small subunit ribosomal RNA", at positions 793 to 1055 of the family's 1533-position model. The record is from RNAcentral.